Ribosomal RNA from Xiphophorus couchianus (Monterrey platyfish), 111 nucleotides. The record is from Ensembl. NCBI's taxonomy places the organism in Eukaryota, Metazoa, Chordata, Actinopteri, Cyprinodontiformes, Poeciliidae.
GCUUACGGUCAUGCCACUCUAAACACGCCCGAUCUCGUAUGAACUCGGAAGCAAAGCAGAGCAAACUUGGAUGGAAGAUCACCUGGGAGGGAAUACCAGGUGCUGUAAGCA